GGGCGCAUGGCCUAAUGGUAAGGCGUCAGAUUUCGGUUAUCAAAGAACGGCCUCUGAAGAUUGCAGGUUCGAUCCCUGCUGUGCUCG
This is a non-coding RNA of Hypoxylon sp. FL0890, 87 nucleotides long. NCBI's taxonomy places the organism in Eukaryota, Fungi, Ascomycota, Sordariomycetes, Xylariales, Hypoxylaceae. The record is from the annotation of a GenBank genome assembly.